GAUGAACGCUGGCGGCGUGCCUAAUACAUGCAAGUCGAACGAAACUUCUUUAUCACCGAGUGCUUGCACUCACCGAUAAAGAGUUGAGUGGCGAACGGGUGAGUAACACGUGGGCAACCUGCCCAAAAGAGGGGGAUAACACUUGGAAACAGGUGCUAAUACCGCAUAACCAUAGUUACCGCAUGGUAACUAUGUAAAAGGUGGCUAUACUACCGCUUUUGGAUGGGCCCGCGGCGCAUUAGCUAGUUGGUAGGGUAAAGGCUUACCAAGGCAAUGAUGCGUAGCCGAAUUGAGAGGUUGAUCGGCCACAUUGGGACUGAGACACGGCCCAAACUCCUACGGGAGGCAGCAGUAGGGAAUCUUCCACAAUGGGCGAAAGCCUGAUGGAGCAACGCCGCGUGGGUGAAGAAGGUCUUCGGAUCGUAAAACCCUGUUGUUAGAGAAGAAAGUGCGUGAGAGUGACUGUUCACGUUUCGACGGUAUCUAACCAGAAAGCCACGGCUAACUACGUG
RNAcentral lists this ribosomal RNA (512 nucleotides) under uncultured bacterium. RNAcentral describes it as "partial 16S ribosomal RNA". It matches the Rfam family "Bacterial small subunit ribosomal RNA", at positions 28 to 507 of the family's 1533-position model. The record is from RNAcentral.